Molecule: ribosomal RNA, 634 nt
Filed under: Xylariaceae sp. 4 ICMP 18796
Lineage: Eukaryota; Fungi; Ascomycota; Sordariomycetes; Xylariales; Xylariaceae
Description: eukaryotic LSU rRNA
Rfam family: 5.8S ribosomal RNA (bases 265-418)
Source: RNAcentral
GAAGUAAAAGUCGUAACAAGGUCUCCGUUGGUGAACCAGCGGAGGGAUCAUUACAGAGUUACUAUAAACUCCCAACCCUUUGUGAACCAUACCGUCGUUGCCUCGGCGGAAGGUGGGUGCGGUGGAGAGCUACCCUGGAGCCACCUACCCUGUAGGUGGCUACCCUGUAGCUACCCUGAAAAUACGCCCCCGCCAGCCGCCGGAGGACCGUUAAACUCUUGUUUUUACUGUGUCUCUCUGAAUAAAUAAACUAAAAUUCGUUAAAACUUUCAACAACGGAUCUCUUGGUUCUGGCAUCGAUGAAGAACGCAGCGAAAUGCGAUAAGUAAUGUGAAUUGCAGAAUUCAGUGAACCAUCGAAUCUUUGAACGCAUAUUGCGCCCAUUAGUAUUCUAGUGGGCAUGCCUAUUCGAGCGUCAUUUCAACCCUUAAGCAAAACCUAUGCUUAGUGUUGGGAGUCUGCGCCUCGGCGCAGUUCCCUAAAGGUAGUGGCAGUGUUAGGUGCACUCGUAGCGUAGUAAUUCUUUUUCUCUCGCUUCUGUAGUGUCGCCUGGCGUACUCGCCGUCAAAAAAACCCCCCUUCUAAAGGUUGACCUCGGAUUAGGUAGGAAUACCCGCUGAACUUAAGCAUAUCA